UACGUAGGGUGCGAGCGUUGUCCGGAAUUAUUGGGCGUAAAGGGCUCGUAGGCGGUUUGUCGCGUCGGGAGUGAAAACCUUGGGCUUAACUCAGGGCUUGCUUUCGAUACGGGCAGACUAGAGGUAUGCAGGGGAGAAUGGAAUUCCCGGUGUAGCGGUGAAAUGCGCAGAUAUCAGGAGGAACACCGGUGGCGAAGGCGGUUCUCUGGGCAUGAUCUGACGCUGAGGAGCGAAAGUGUGGGGAGCGAACAGG
RNAcentral lists this ribosomal RNA (253 nucleotides) under uncultured bacterium. RNAcentral describes it as "partial 16S ribosomal RNA". It matches the Rfam family "Bacterial small subunit ribosomal RNA", at positions 524 to 776 of the family's 1533-position model. The record is from RNAcentral.